Molecule: long non-coding RNA, 1322 nt
Organism: Anopheles funestus (African malaria mosquito)
Lineage: Eukaryota; Metazoa; Arthropoda; Insecta; Diptera; Culicidae
Exons: 4
Source: RefSeq, a predicted model, not a curated record
GAUUGGCGAUCCGUUGGAUACUAACCGAGUUAUAGGCAAAAUUUGGUGCAAAAAUGAGGAAAAUUUUACAUUUUUUCAAACAGGGUAAGGAACUUGGUUUCUCGAAUAACUUCUGGCACAUACAUCUGAGGGCAUGGCCGUCCGAGAAGAAAAUGUAGCCAUUGGUGCCAUCUAUCGACCACAGGUUAAAGAUUGGCGAUCCGUUGGAUACCGACCGAGUUAUAGACAAAACUUGGGGCAAAAAUGAGCCUUAGAAAAAUUUUAUUUUUUUGAUUUUUUUGAUUUUUUGAUUAUUUUUCACUCUUUUUUUUAUUUAAAGCAUUUCUUGAGUGAUAAGAAACACAUUGCAACCGAUUGGCAUUAAAAUAAAUCAAUUUAAUUUUUUUUGCAAAAUUUCUCAAAAAAAACGUAAGGGGUAAGCCUUAUAAAAUUUUCGAGUUGAAAAUUUUUGAAAAUUUUUUUUCUGAUUUUUGAUUAUUUUUUUAAUUUAACGCAUUAUUUGAGUGAAAUGAAACACAUUGCAACAAAUUUGCAUGAAAAUAUAUCACAUUUAUAAAUUUUGCUAAAUUGGUCAAAAAUGAGGAAAAUUUUACGAUUUCUCAAGCAGGGUAAGGAACUUGGUUCCUCGAAUAACUUCCGGCACAGACAUUUAAGGGCAUGACCGUCCAAGAAGAAAAUGUAGCCAUUAAUACCAUCUAUCGACCACAGGUUAAAGAUCGGCGAUCCGUUGGAUACCGACCGAAUUAUAGGCAAAAGUUGGUGCAAAAAUGAGGAAAAUUUAACAUUUUCUCAAACAGGGUAAGGAACUUGUUUCCUCGAAUAACUUCCGGCAGAGACAUCUGAGAGCAUGGCCGUCCAAGAAGAAAAUGUAGCCAUAGAUGCCAUCGAUCGACCACAGGUUAAAGAUCGGCGAUCCGUUGGAUACCGUCCGAGUUAUAGGCAAAACUUGCUGCAAAAAUGAGAAAAAUUUUACGUUUUCUCAAACAGGGUAAGGAACUUGUUUCCUCGAAUAACUUCCGGCAGAGACAUCUGAGAGCAUGGCCGUCCAAGAAGAAAAUGUAGCCAUAGGUGCCAUCUAUCGACCACAGGUUAAAGAUCGGCGAUCCGUUGGAUACCGACCGAGUUAUAGGCAAAACUUGGUGCAAAAAUGAGGAAAAUUUAACAUUUUCUCAAACAGGGUAUGGAACUUGUUUCCUCGAAUAACUUCCGGCAGAGACAUCUGAGAGCAUAGCCGUCCAAGAAGAAAAUGUAGCCAUAGGUGCCAUCUAUCGACCACAGGUUAAAGAUUGGCGAUCCGUUGGAUACCGACCGAGUUAUAGGCA